This 379-nucleotide ribosomal RNA is filed under the name uncultured bacterium. RNAcentral describes it as "bacterial SSU rRNA". It matches the Rfam family "Bacterial small subunit ribosomal RNA", at positions 524 to 898 of the family's 1533-position model. The record is from RNAcentral.
UACAGAGAUGGCUAGCGUUGUUCGGAUUCAUUGGGUGUAAAGGGUGCGUAGGCGGUUUGGAAAGUCAGAUGUGAAAGCCUAGAGCUUAACUCUAGAAAUGCAUUUGAAACUUCCAGGCUGGAGUAUGGGAGAGGUGAAGGGAAUUCCCGGUGUAAGGGUGAAAUCUGUAGAGAUCGGGAGGAACACCAGUGGCGAAGGCGCUUCACUGGCCCAUAACUGACGCUGAGUGCACGAAGGCAUGGGGAGCAAACGGGAUUAGAUACCCCGGUAGUCCAUGCAGUAAACGAUGUUCACUAGGUGCUGGUUCCGUUUAUUCGGGGUCAGUGCCGCAGCUAACGCAUUAAGUGAACCACCUGGGGAGUACAGUCGCAAGGCUGAA